This is a long non-coding RNA of Drosophila guanche, 571 nucleotides long. RefSeq lists it as uncharacterized. Lineage: Eukaryota; Metazoa; Arthropoda; Insecta; Diptera; Drosophilidae. The transcript has 3 exons. The record is from RefSeq and is a predicted model, not a curated record.
CUCUCCUACAGUUUUUUUACCCGUAAUUUUUCUUUUUCAUCCUUUUUGGAGCCAAGUUUAAACAACUGCAAGGGACAAGCCGUCAUCCAGCGGAUGCUUGGGGCAUCGGACCGGACCGUCUGACAUCCUUCUACUUCUCCUUCAUCCAAGUGCUGCUGCUGCUGUAAGUUCAAGACGAAAAGAAAACUCUUGCCAGCUGCUGGGGACAAUGGACAAUGGCAGCCAAUUAAUGCUUUUUGGGUGAGUCUUACAGAAAGGGAAGUACGACGAGUACUUGAACAGAUAGUAUUAGAGAUUCUUUUAUGCCUGACUAUAUUUUGUAUUUUUUGUAUUUCAGAGAUAGCAAUUUAUAAAUCAAUAAACCUAAGAUUACAGCAUUUGGUAUCUAUGUUAAUCUGUUUAUCAUUUUAGGCGAGAACAAAAUAUCUACAGAAUUAUUAUUCGUUCAAUGAUAAAUCUAAUUCCAGUUAAGCAGACCUCCAACCCCACUGUACAGUACACACUAAACCUCAUGGAGUUGCCUUGGCUAGAUUACUUUUUGCAGUUUACCCAAAACAACUGCAGCGCAUAA